RNAcentral lists this transfer RNA (74 nucleotides) under miscellaneous Crenarchaeota group archaeon SMTZ1-55. RNAcentral's name for it is "tRNA-Val". It matches the Rfam family "tRNA". From Rfam's summary of the family: Transfer RNA (tRNA) molecules are approximately 80 nucleotides in length. The record is from RNAcentral. Lineage: Archaea; Thermoproteati; Candidatus Bathyarchaeota.
ACAGCCGUCCGCGGAAUCUGGCAGCGUACUGGCCUGACGAGCCAGGAGGUGGGGUUCAAAUCCCCACAGCGGCC